This is a long non-coding RNA of Herpailurus yagouaroundi (jaguarundi), 202 nucleotides long. RefSeq lists it as uncharacterized. The record is from RefSeq and is a predicted model, not a curated record. The transcript has 2 exons. Lineage: Eukaryota; Metazoa; Chordata; Mammalia; Carnivora; Felidae.
CAGAGCCCGACACGGGGCCUGAUCUCACAAACCAUGAGAUCAUGACCUGAGCUGACAUCAAGAGUCUGAUGCUUAACCCGCUGAGCCACCAGGGGCCCCAUAAAUACUUUCAUCUUUUACCUGCCACCAGGUUAAGUAUCUUAAAGUACAGUUUCUACCACCAAACUUUUUUGUUGAAAAGAAAUAAGGUAGAAAAAAACCC